GCCGGGAUAGCUCAGUUGGUAGAGCAGGGGACUGAAAAUCCUCGUGUCACCAGUUCCAAAAUAAGGGGG
This 69-nucleotide transfer RNA is filed under the name Cheilolejeunea filiformis. Its description in RNAcentral is "Omphalanthus filiformis partial tRNA-Phe". The record is from RNAcentral. Lineage: Eukaryota; Viridiplantae; Streptophyta; Jungermanniopsida; Porellales; Lejeuneaceae.